RNAcentral lists this small nuclear RNA (18 nucleotides) under Arabidopsis thaliana (thale cress). RNAcentral's name for it is "snRNA_01671". The record is from RNAcentral. Lineage: Eukaryota; Viridiplantae; Streptophyta; Magnoliopsida; Brassicales; Brassicaceae.
AGAGUAAUGUUAAGAGAU